UCCCGAUUCGCGAGCCUCUUUCGGGGCAUCGGACGGUCCCGGCACCCGAUUUCGCGGCGUGAAAUCAUGAGCGGCUGCUCGCUUCGUUGUCUCUCGCCUCCCAACCCAGAUGAUCGCUUCUCGGUCUCUCACGAGCUAAUGCCUCUCAAAACAAAACCCCGACCCUAGUUCUUUCAUCUUCUUCGGCCCCGGGAAGAAAACACUCACUCCGAACCUUAAUUUUGCCCUCUGCUUCGAAUCACGCCGUUCCGGAAGGUUUCUUGGUUCUCGGUCACCACUAUCUUCUUUCUGAAAUUUCCACACAGUCGAUCGUCUAUGGAAGGUUGUAUCUACGCCUGCCGCUCUUUCUAAUCCUUUGUGCCGUCUCCAGGUUCCAACCAUUCAGGGUCAAGGAUGGGCCAAAUGUGAUGGAUCGAUGUAAGAAGCAGAAAGCAAUUAUGCCUAUAUGGAGGCCAAUCUCCACACAGUCAGGUUGCAGUUGAUUGCAGUGGAAGGUCUGAUGUUCAAUAUGAAGUCCAAGAAGUAUGCAAUAAUGCAUCCUCCUGUAUGGAUGAUGUUCAAAAUGUUGCGCAGGAUGAACGAAAUUCGGGCAUUCCUACAUCAUUAACAGAAAGCACUAAUGUGGUAAAUAGUGAUAAACAAUCUGAAUUUACAUAAGGAAAACGAUCUGUUUUGCUUUCAUCUAAGAUAGAGGAUGCGCCUGGGAGACGUACCUGUGAAACUGACUUCAAGUCCAAUGAGGCCAUCUACCAGAAAGAAGGUACAGAGGAAACUCUACAGGAAGUAAGCUCCAACAAUGAUGCAGAAUCAGGCUGUGGAGUUGAGAAACAUUUGAUCUCUGUUGAGGUUUAUUCGUGCAAAUAUCAUUCUCAUUUUUUGAAGGAAAGCUUAAGUUUCAUUAUUCGUUUCUUGUGAACAAAUAUACUGGCAUCUUUUGCCUGGAUAUAUCUGCAAGGUUUAUUUAGCCACAAUCAAAUAUCUUUCAACGGUGUUUUACUUACACAUCCAGUUGGUGGAACAUAACCGUCUAUAUGUAUUAGCAUUGAGGACUGAUUCCAAUAAUGUUAAAACUUGUCUAGGAGUAGAUUAUGAACUUCAAAAUGAGGCUAAGGUCUAAAAUCAUCUGAUGCCAUAUUGCUACAGACCUGUGGUCUUGAAAGAAGAACCACAUUCACUGUAAAGCAUAUAAUUUUUCACAAACUGCUCCAAUCCCAUAAUCAUUUUCUUUUGCAUCCCUGCAAGAUGAGUGCGGAUUACAAUCAAUAAAUUGUCACACGGAUAGCUAUAAUGUUUCAAAAAUCUUUUUUUGGUUUGAAUCAGGGAGAAGUAAGAGAGAUCUUGAUUGUGGCUUGAUUCGCAAAAGAUAAGGUGUAAAACUUUGAGAAGAUAAGGUGUAAAACUUUGAGGCCAACCAGCUGUAAAGUUGUAGUGACCAUAGCACUGUGCACUUGUAUGGGCAACAGUUUGUUCUCGAGGGCAUUAAUCAAUGAGAUAAAAAUAAGGUGUGUGAUCAGGUAAGGAUGGUUGGUAAUCCAUGUUUCAAUGUGGUUCUUAAGAGUAAAACAUGCCGAAGAACUUCUGAAGAAAUGAAAAUCAAUCUCUCUGUAUUAGAUAAAUCUAACCAUAAACAUAAGAUUUAAUAUUUGAAGAAUAUUAGGUAUAUCGAUAUAUGUUUCUAUUGAUCAGCAUCGUUGCUAUGUAUGCUUAGAUUUGUCCUUCAGCAAAGAGACCAAUACAUUAUUAUUCAUAUGAUAUUGGCGAAUGCUUGAUAAAUAUUUCUUUAUCUAUCAGCAACAUUGUCUAAUUGCAAUUCCAAGCAUGAAGUGCUUUGUUAGACUUUCUCGAGUUUAAACAAGCACAUGGCAUAUCUCCUUGAAUGGAUCAUAGACUUUGUCUGAAACCCAUCACUUUGAUGUAAUGGCAAUCAUGAGGGUAAUAACUGUUCUCUUAUGAAUCCCAUUUUAAGAAUGUCACCAAAGACAUGUUUUGUAACUUAUUUGGCACUAUUUAAGAACAGCGCAUUGCCAUUGGAUGAAAGCACUUAGUAGGAUUAAAUGGUUAUAAAGUACUCUGGGCAGGUUAUUUCUAGUAUAAAGUUUAUGUUUGCUUCUUCAUUAAUUGCUUCUGUUUAUUACUAAUUAACUCUCCAUCUUACCUGAGAGAAAUUAUUCUUCAAGCAUCAAAUAUACUGCUUUGAGCAUUAUUUUUGUUUAUGCUUACUAUAAAUUUCUAUGAUUUAUGAAUAGAAGCUCCUUUCAAUUUCAUUACUAACAUACUAAUUGAUUCAAAAAAAAAUUUCAAGCAAGAUAGUUUGAUUGCAGACAUGCAUGAAAGGUUCACCAGCUAAAGCCUGUGUUGUUUAUGCUCCUGUUGUGGAAAUUGGCGGAGAGGAAUGCUUGUUACGUGCUUGUUAAGUCAUUAUCGAUCCUUAUGUUGAAGCAGGUCUUGUUCUUGAAAAGGAUGCUCAUUAAACAUUGAAGUGGUAAAAGGCUUGGGUUGACAAAUGCAAUGACAUGGGUUUGAGUCCUGGGACAACCACUUUGUGCCAAAAAAAAAGCCAAAAUAGGUCUGUCCCCGGGUUGCCUCUCCCAUUACCAUAGAUUGCUGGUAUCUUAUAAGGCAGCAUGCUUAAAUCGAUCCUUACAGCACAUAUCUCUGAUCCCAUCUCAAACCCUUUUGGCAUCACACUUUCAAAACCUACAUUGGUUCAUUGUAUUAUCACAUCAUAUUCUGAAUAAGGAUGUGUUAUAAGAACACCUAAUAUAUAUGCAUGUACAAAACCAUGUAUUUUUAUCUGUAUGUAUGCUGGGUUUUCUGUCUCCCCUCUGGCUAGAUUGGGACUUGGGAUCUUUUCGAGAUUUUGUUUUGUUUCUGUAUUUUUCUAUCUUAAGAAGUGCAUCAAGCUCAAGGUUUGAUGGAAUAAUCAGAUUAUUGAUCUUUGUGAAAGCUCAAUUCUGCAGAUGCGAUACAUUUGAGUUUCUUCAGUGUAUGAGGGUUUAUGCAGCACUGGCAAACAAUUUCUAAUCUAAUUGCUGCAAUUUGUUCUGUUUGAACAAGUUCAGUUAUCAGUAUUUGCAAGCUAAUCUUGUGCAAUUAUCAAUUGCAUGUUCACAUGUUUGGAGCCAUUUAUUCAUCAUCACAUUUAUAAUCAAUAAAUUGCAGUUUAUUCCUUAAAACAAUUAAGUGUUGCCAUAAUAGCAUAAGAAAGUGAGGCUUGUGUGGCGACAUGUAUUGAAAGACCGCCAAGAAUAUGGUUUGCAAAGCUCUGCAUCCUUUCUUACUAAUGAAACUGCUUCGUGCCUUGCUGAAUUGCAGCUGCACGCCACCUCGAUGAAUGUGAGUCACAGAAAGAGGAAGAGGACUGGAAGAUAUGAUUCCUUUGAUGCAUGGCACAUCUUCAAGGUACAUGGGUCAAAAGAUUGGGGUGAGUAUCACAUCCGAGAAGUGCAUUUUUCUCAGAGGUUCAAAUUUGAUGAAAGUGGAUAUUAUCAUUGCUGUGCUUUGAUUCCUUUACCUGAGAACUUGCAAACAGAAUAAUUUCCAUCCUCUGGAUUCAUAUAUUCAGAAUGGGACCAUUGGUACAUGUGGUGAUACUGCUCACACUGCAGACAUGCAUUCCUAAUUUGAGGUUCUUUUGCAAUUCUUCUAACCAAUUAGGUGCCGAUUCAUGCUAUCUGCACAUCAGAUGUUUGUUCCAUGCAAAUUUUUAAUCGUUCAUUAUAAUACUGGCCAGUUACCCUGUCAGAAUAAGAACGAAAAAGACCGCGAAGUUUUUAUCAAUAAUUUAUUUUCCAACACUGCCAUUGUUGAUAAUGAAUGUUCACUUUUAUUUUUCUCAUUAAGUAAUAUGAAUCUAUAUUUAUUUAUUGUCA
This is a non-coding RNA of Phoenix dactylifera (date palm), 3872 nucleotides long. The record is from RefSeq and is a predicted model, not a curated record. Lineage: Eukaryota; Viridiplantae; Streptophyta; Magnoliopsida; Arecales; Arecaceae.